Molecule: unclassified non-coding RNA, 263 nt
Filed under: plant metagenome
Description: partial contains small subunit ribosomal RNA, internal transcribed spacer 1, and 5.8S ribosomal RNA
Rfam family: Eukaryotic small subunit ribosomal RNA (bases 1-54)
Source: RNAcentral
GGAAGUAAAAGUCGUAACGAGGUUUCCGUAGGUGAACCUGCGGAAGGAUCAUUAUUGAAUGAAACACUUCUGGCUUUAUGCUGUUGUGCUGGCCCUUUGGGCAAUGUGCACACGGCUCUGGUCACUUGUUUCUUCUGUUCCACCUGUGCACUGCCUGUAGACACGCUGUGUCUAUGAUAUUUGUUAACACACAACAAUGUUAGUUGGCAUGUUAUAUAUAAUAAUAAAAUAUACAACUUUCAACAACGGAUCUCUUGGCUCUC